Athalia rosae (coleseed sawfly) is the source of this 856-nucleotide long non-coding RNA. RefSeq lists it as uncharacterized. The record is from RefSeq and is a predicted model, not a curated record. Lineage: Eukaryota; Metazoa; Arthropoda; Insecta; Hymenoptera; Athaliidae. The transcript has 4 exons.
GAGAUGGACUGUCCACAGGUCGAAAAGAAAAGUUUGGCGAAUCUGCACUUGAUAAAGAUUCAGGCGUGCCUACAGAACUGAUUGAUCCUGGCAGUGGACUGGAUAUACCUUCGAGCCUUUUUAAAAAAAAUAUCAUUGAUAAUAGGAUGAUAUCUCACCUGUUGGAGUGUGAAAUAACUAAGCUGGAAGUUCGUUUGGCUGGUGGUUGCAAGUGUUGAUCUCCAUUGCUGUCAUCUAAUUCAAACUUUCUUUUUACCGGUCCUAAGCAGCUGGCACGGAUGGCUAUGGGACUGAGACUUCGCCUGUAAUCAGAAAGAGAGGCAAAGUUUCAACCAAUUGAUCAAAACUUCAGGAAUAUUCAUUAAUCACAAAACAAACAUUGUUCAACUUUACCUGGUGGCAAAAGCUUUUCUAGUAGGACUAGGAGAAAGAUUGUUUUUCCAGUUAAAUUGAAUUCCAGGCAGAUGACUUGGCGACUCUGCAUCUUUGAAAGAAGACCCUUCCGCAUCAAGGGUCAAGUCUUCCCAUGACUGGGAUAUCUGUAUCGCACUGUGAAUCUCUUUUUCAUGGGCUGCUUCUCGACCGGCUACGUCCACACUCUCUUCCUGUCGUAACUGACUCACCCUUGGAGUAAGACGUGGAGCACUUCCACCACCAGGACUCUAUCAAGAGAAUAAAGCAAAGGGAAAUUUAAUCUUCUUUGCGUCAAAUACGCAGUAACAACAGGCUCUAGGAAGAUUGGAAAGUACAAAUAUUGUCUAACUCACGCUAGUACUGAAGCGUCUGGUGCGGGGCGAGUUUGAAUAGACGUUGAAGUUUGAAACGGCAUCUCUGAAAAAGCAGUGAGUGGUUGAGG